CCUACGGGGCGCAGCAGUGAGGAAUAUUGGUCAAUGGACGCAAGUCUGAACCAGCCAUGCCGCGUGCAGGAAGACGGCUCUAUGAGUUGUAAACUGCUUUUGUACGAGGGUAAACGCAGAUACGCGUAUCUGUCUGAAAGUAGCGUACGAAUAAGGAUCGGCUAACUCCGUGCCAGCAGCCGCGGUAAUACGGAGGAUUCAAGCGUUAUCCGGUUUUAUUGGGUUUAAGGGGUGCGUAGGCGGUCGGGUAAGUUAGUGGUGAACUCCCGCGGCUCAACUUCGGAAUUGCCGCUGAUACUGUUCGGCUCGCGAGUAGUUGCGGUAGUCGGAAUGUAUGGUGUAGCGGUGAAAUGCUUAGAGAUCAUACAGAACACCGAUUGCGCAGGCAGCUUACCAAGCUACUUCUGACGUUGAGGCACGAAAGCGUGGGGAGCAAACAGGAUUAGAUACCCUAGUAGUC
RNAcentral lists this ribosomal RNA (460 nucleotides) under uncultured bacterium. RNAcentral's name for it is "partial 16S ribosomal RNA". It matches the Rfam family "Bacterial small subunit ribosomal RNA", at positions 338 to 795 of the family's 1533-position model. The record is from RNAcentral.